GACGAACGCUGGCGGCGUGCUUAACACAUGCAAGUCGAACGGUAAGGCCCUUCGGGGUACACGAGUGGCGAACGGGUGAGUAACACGUGGGUGAUCUGCCCUGCACUUCGGGAUAAGCCUGGGAAACUGGGUCUAAUACCGGAUAGGACUCCUGGCUUCAUGGUUGGGGGUGGAAAGCUUUUGCGGUGUGGGAUGGGCCCGCGGCCUAUCAGCUUGUUGGUGGGGUAAUGGCCUACCAAGGCGACGACGGGUAGCCGGCCUGAGAGGGUGACCGGUCACACUGGGACUGAGAUACGGCGCAGACUCCUGCGGGAGGCAGCAGUGGGGAAUAUUGCACAAUGGGCGCAUGCCUGAUGCAGCGACGCCGCGUGAGGGAUGACGGCCUUCGGGUUGUAAACCUCUUUCAGCUAUGACGAAGCGCAAGUGACGGUAGUAGCAGAAGAAGGACCGGCCAACUACGUGCCAGCCGCCGCUGUAA
Molecule: ribosomal RNA, 478 nt
Filed under: uncultured bacterium
Lineage: Bacteria
Description: partial 16S ribosomal RNA
Rfam family: Bacterial small subunit ribosomal RNA
Source: RNAcentral